This 74-nucleotide transfer RNA is filed under the name Retropinna semoni (Australian smelt). RNAcentral describes it as "tRNA-Leu". It matches the Rfam family "tRNA". Rfam says of the family: Transfer RNA (tRNA) molecules are approximately 80 nucleotides in length. The record is from RNAcentral. Lineage: Eukaryota; Metazoa; Chordata; Actinopteri; Osmeriformes; Retropinnidae.
ACCGAGGUAGCAAAGCCUGGUAAAUGCUGAAGGCCUAAGCCCUUUAAUCAGAGGUUCAACUCCUCUUCUCGGCU